This 302-nucleotide ribosomal RNA is filed under the name uncultured bacterium. RNAcentral's name for it is "partial 16S ribosomal RNA". It matches the Rfam family "Bacterial small subunit ribosomal RNA", at positions 508 to 808 of the family's 1533-position model. The record is from RNAcentral.
GCAGUAGCCGCGGUAAUACGAAGGGUGCAAGCGUUACUCGGAAUUACUGGGCGUAAAGCGUGCGUAGGUGGUGGUUUAAGUCCGUUGUGAAAGCCCUGGGCUCAACCUGGGAAUUGCAGUGGAUACUGGGUCACUAGAGUGUGGUAGAGGAUAGUGGAAUUUCCGGUGUAGCAGUGAAAUGCGUAGAGAUCGGAAGGAACAUCUGUGGCGAAGGCGACUAUCUGGGCCAACACUGACACUGAGGCACGAAAGCGUGGGGAGCAAACAGGAUUAGAUACCCUGUAGUCCCUGUCUCUUAUACA